This is an RNA transcript of Quercus lobata, 1985 nucleotides long. It is a transcript of the gene named F-box/kelch-repeat protein SKIP6-like, with no coding region annotated. NCBI's taxonomy places the organism in Eukaryota, Viridiplantae, Streptophyta, Magnoliopsida, Fagales, Fagaceae. The transcript is spliced from 4 exons. The record is from RefSeq and is a predicted model, not a curated record.
AACGUUUCCCGAAAGUCAGAAGCAAGAUGGCAAGCUGAAGACAAUAUUGGGCCUCAAUUUUCGGACUAAAUAUCGGGCCCAGAUUAGCACAACAAACAAUUUUCUUUUCUUUUCUUUUCUUAAUAGCCCAAAAAGUCCCCAUACCAAAACAGAUACAGAAGAAUCACAGAUACGUCCACCCCAACAACCUUUUUCCCAUCCACACAGACUCUCCGACAACCCAUGUCCACCGCCACCGAGUCCCAACCACAACCACAACCACAACCACAACAACCGUUAAUUCCAUCUCUCCCAGACGACUUGGGCUUGAACAUCCUAGCUCGAAUACACCGGUGCCACCACCCAACACUGUCCUUAGUCUCAAAACCCAUCCACUCCCUCCUCUCCUCUCCUCUCUUCUUCACCACUCGAUCUCUCCUCCACUCCUCUCAACCCCUCCUCUACCUUUCUCUCCGCUCCUCUCUCUCGUCUUCUCUCCUCUGGUUCUGCCUCGGCUCCAAUUCCAAUUCCUCUCACUCCCUCUUCCCAAUCCCACCUAUCCCCUCUACUUCCACCGUUGGCUCCUCAAUCGCCUCACUGGGCCCCUCUAUCUAUGUAAUUGGUGGCUCCACCAACGAUGUUCCCACAUCCCAUGUCUGGAUUCUAGAUUGUCGUUUCAACACCUGGCGACCCGGCCCCAACAUGCGGGUCGCCCGCGAGUUUUCCGCUGCGGGUGUUGUGGAUGAAAACAUCUACGUCAUGGGUGGGUGUGUUACUGAUUCGUGGGCCAAGUCGGCCCAUUGGGCCGAGCGGUUUGACCCGAAGGUCCAGAAAUGGGAACGGGUCGAGAGCCCGGUUCUGAUCCGGGACAAGUGGAUGCACGCGAGUGCGGUGAUGGAUGGGAAGGUUUACGCGAUGGCGGAUAGAGGGGGAAUUGUGUACGACGCGAGAGAGAGCGCGUGGGGGCGCGUGGAGGGGGAAUUGGAUUUCGGGUGGAGGGGGAGAGCGUGCGUGGUGGGUGGGGUUUUGUAUUGUUACGAUUAUUUGGGGAAGAUACGUGCGUUUCACGCGCGGGAGGGCGCGUGGAGGGAGGUAAAGGGGUUGGAGGGCGGGCUUCCGAGGUUUCUUUGCGGUGCCACGAUGGCGAAUUUGGGAGGGAAGUUGGUUGUACUCUGGGAGGAGAAGGGGAAGAGAGAGAUGGAAAUUUGGUGUGCAGAGAUUGGUGUGGAGAUGAGGGAGAGUGGAGAGUUGUGGGGGCAAAUUGGGUGGGUUGAGAAGGUCAGAACCGUGCCCCGUGGAUCCUCCAUCGUGCAUUGCGUGGCCGUUGAGGUGUGAUGUUUUAAGCUCAAGCUGGAUGUGGGAACUGAAUCCCUCUGCAUGGGACUAGGUAAGGAGCUCAUGAUUCUAGCAUGCUCUAUUGGUUUCAGCAAUCAGAGGGAAAUCUUAGAAAAAGCUCCUUUCAAUUAGUGUCAGGUGCUUACUUAUUGUCUAAACUGCUCUUUAUAAGGAAAUCUUCUUGUGAUGAAAUGGGUUUGGAGCAGAAAUUUUGUGAUCAGCAUUUUGUCAACUGUAGAUGAAUUUACAGGAUCUGCAGCAAAAGAUUCCUGACGUUGAGUGCCAGUUUGUGCUGCAUUCUAACUGUACCAACUAUCCAUUUUCUCUCAAAUAAUCAAGCAUCUUGCAAGUUGCACUAUGUUUCCAGUUUCCACUAUGAGGAUUAUCCCUCGGUGCGAUGGCAAAUGCGCCUUCCACCAAAAGCGACGUGUCAUGGGUUCAAGUACGAUGGCAAAUGCGCCUUCCACCAAAAGUGACGUGUCGUGGGUUCAAGUACGGAAAUCAGCCUCUCCAUAAAUUGGAAAGUAGUGCUGCCUACGAAUCAGUUCUUCUAGACCCCGCAAAAGCAAAAGCUCUGAGAAUUGGGUACAACCCCCUUCUAUGUCACUGGAACUUGAACAUAAUUCAUUUGCAAUGUUAAAAGUGGAUGUUCAGGUUGAUUUGCUGGAUCA